GAUGGUGGAGGUGGAGAAUUUUAUUUAGGGAUGGAAAUGUCUCACAGUGGAGAGGGGAGCUGAAGAGGAGGCAGGACGGGCAGGUAAUCUUCCCUGACAUCUGGCAGUCUCCAGCCAGCUCUUCUCCGAAGUUAAGCCAUCACUCCUCCAAAGUCCAGCUGUCCCUCUGAAGUCAAGUUGCCUCUCUCCAGUCAAGCUGCGUCUCCCUUUCUACCUACUGAGUCUGGGGUCUUUAUAGGGAUAUGAUGGGGGGCAGGGAGGGUCAUAAGUAAUUUUGGGAAAAGGCAACAUUCAAUAGGUAGAAAGACAUUAUUCAGAAAGAGUCAACUGGGAGAGAGCGAGCAAACAGGGAUAGAAGUUCUCACUUUGGGCUGUGGGUUUCAGCUUGAAGGUGGGGUUUUGCUAGGUCCCACCCUUGUCUGCCUAGAAUUUCUCUGCCUCUAGCCUCUAUCGAUGUUGCCACUUUUUUCCCUCAUUGUAGCGAAGAGCAGGAACUUCUGUGUAUAUCUGUUUUCUUCCUCAAGAUCUGCUAGGAUUCUCUCUAGCUCCCCUCUUUCCUCACUCUCUAAGGAAAUCAAGAUCUGGGCAGGACUACGAGGCUGGCUCAGGGGGGAGUCCUGG
This 621-nucleotide long non-coding RNA is filed under the name Homo sapiens (human). RNAcentral describes it as "long non-coding RNA NONHSAT136580.2". The record is from RNAcentral. Lineage: Eukaryota; Metazoa; Chordata; Mammalia; Primates; Hominidae.